CCAAAAAAAAAAAAAAAAAAAAAAAAAAAAAGAGAGUCUAUGUUGAUGUUCUUCCUAGAUUCUCCUCUUUUGGCUCUAAUUCUAACUCCCACUUCUGACCUCUUUACAUCAGGGCAUGUUGUUAGCCUUUUCACAUCAUUACUAGGUGAGCAACAAAGAAGAAAGUUUCUGGAAAAACUAGCUUCUGUAAGACAACCAGAAAGUGUUGACAAUCAUUUCUUGGUCUAAGCAUUCUUUAGCUCUUUUGAAAAAUGACCUCAGCCUAUCUGUGGGCUGGAUCUCCCUGGUAUAGAUCACAGUGUCCUAUAGCCCUUUCUGCUUGGGUUUGAAUCUAAGCCUGAAAAUUUCUGCCUUAGUCGCUUCCCUCAUCUCGAGAAAUGAAGUGGAUUUCUGAAGUUGCUGCCUCUGGUAUGUCUCAGCUUUCUCCUUUACCUUUUCAGCAGUUCGCAUUCUUUUACUGAAAAUAACUGUUUUUAUAUUGAAAUUAGUGGUGUAAUGUUUUUAUCCUGAUUACACUCUGGAUGAUUUUGAUGAGGUAAACAUGUGGGAAGAAAUCCACUUCUAGUCACCAUGGGAAAUGCAGUGGAAUCCAACCAAAAAGGUUGAGUGAGAUGUCCUUUGUAAGAAUUACCUUGUCAAAGAGCACCUGCCUGAAGUAGCUGUUCUGAGAUGUAGACUACGUGUUAUAUUGCCAAUUAGCUCUGGGCUGGAAGUGAGUUGCCGAACUGGAUUACUGCAGCCUGGAGAUGUUCUCAGGGUAACAGUGCUAAGCAGUUUCUAUUAGCCACAGGGAAUAAAAGAGGCGGUACUCUGUACUGUGGGGAGCUGUUAGCAUGCUUGCAUAUUGUGUUUGGGUCCUUGAAUCAUAUGUCUAAAAAACACCUGACUUUUUAUGAAUAUGCGAUAUUUGAUACUCUAUCAUAAACCGCUAGAUGAUUUUUGUCUAGUUAUUCCCUAAUGUGUGUUCUGAGCAUGGUUAAGGUAGGCCAUUCAAGGCUGUAAUGCUUGAUAGUUUGGGUGUUAAACACAUAGUGACUUGGGAUGUUUCCACUGAUGGUGGGUUUAUUAGGGACAUACAGAAUCAUAGCUAACGGGACAGGUGCCUUUCUGUGUGUGGGUAUGGUUGUAGCACCCCUUUAAAGAAAGCUUGUCUGGUUCUCUUUUGAUAUGUGUGUCUCAUUUUAUCAGUGUCAUAAGGCUGGGAGACAGUAGUCUCAUUUGCCUUGUGACAAGAAGGGUUGCUAGGAAAUGGUUGAGGGGGACGUGGACUGAGAAUCCAGAGAGCUGCCGCAGAAGCUGCUGGGUGCAAGCCCCACUUCCCUGGUAGGAGUCAGUGGUGUUCCUGCUGUGGCAGAGGUUUGGGACGGGAAGAGAGGUGUAGAGGGACCCAGACUAUCAAGUCUCAAAGGUAGAAUGAAAACUUCUAUAGGAAGUGUUUGUGACGGACAUUGGUUGGCAGAGUGACACUUAUCAGCAGAGUGACCUUUAUCGGUAGAGCUCUCAGUAUGAAGUAGGUGAACUUAACACAGUGGAUGUCAUAGGAAGGGCUCGAGAAGAAGAGUCUGGACAAAUCAUGUCUCAGAGUAUCUCCUGGGUCUGAAUUUUUUUCUAGAAGUGUUCCUUAAUGGAACUUUCAGGUGGUCUGGAAGGGGACAUGCUGCUCUUUGAAAAGCAUAACGGAGACAAUUAUCAAUCAAAGUGUUGUGGCCAGCAGCAGAUGGCUUUAGGCCAGAUUUCUUCAACAUUUUCAGGUGAGGAUGCUAAAUGCAUAGAUGGAAAGCUUAUGAUCCCUGGUUUUAAGAGGGAUGACCACACAGGUUCUGACGAGGCUGGGAGGCACCCACAGUGAACCAUUUGUCUUCCCUUUUCUGCGGGACUCCAGGCUUCCUUCCCCGCGUACACACUUUCAUUCUCUCGGCUGAGGUGUUUUCGGGUAUUUCUCAUCUCCCAGUGGCUCCCAGAGUCAGUCCACUGCUCACCCACUCAGGAAGAGUCAUGCACACUGGCACGUGCAUGAAGAGCGUGAGCACAGAAGACUGGGGUGCAAGCACCAGUCCUAAGAUGUUGGCUCAAGUUUAUAUGAUGCCAGUCCAAGCUCGGAGACACCAGCACCAACAUGGAGGGGUGCGAGCACGGAGGCAUUAUGAUCAGUUGGCUGAUUAUGGCGGUGCCCAUUAUAUAGAAAGCAAGGCAGUGUGGCCCUGACUGACUUGAGAGCCCUCCUGGGAAUUUACACCACUGGCAUAGGUGAAGCGGAAGAUCUGGCUCUAGGGGACCGUUUGGAAUACUCCAUGGACACACAGCCCACUGCCCACUUGGAAAGCUGCCAGGGAGAAGCUUGAAACCUGUCAGGCAGAGCCAACAAGGACACAGUGUCCUGCCACAGCAGGAAGGAGCCUGGAGAACACAGAGGACAGUUAGUACCACUUGGACAUCUCUGUCCUCUCCGAGUGUGGAAGUUGGUCCUUGCAGAGAAAGAAGCCUGACUAAAGUAAGGAUGUACCCUCACACUUUGGCAACAUAAUUGGCCUAUCACUGAAGAUGAGGACUUUGUCUUGAGCCUUGUGGCUCUGGCUGGGGACCAUCUAUUAACAUCAGACCCUCUUCUCACAGGGUCAGAACAAAGACAUAAGGAAGCCACUGCAAAAGAGGUGGGGGUGAGGGUGGACCGGGUUCAUGCUUAUAUCCCUGGAAGACAUGUUUUGAGGAAUGAAGAGACCAGAUGUGAAAGCCAGAAGGGACAUAUAUUGUAUCUUUGUCUGUGUUAAUUCAGUGCUUUCUGGCACACCGUGACUGCAUUUUGCUCCUACUCCUGGUGAAUGACAUGGAUACAGCUCACUAGUGGGUUUUGAAUGUGAAAUUAGUAAAAGUGACUGCUUAUGCCCAAACAGCGCCCUGUGAGCCUUGUGGCCUAGAGAUGGCAACGUGAGCCCCAGUGUCCACUGUAGUACUGUCAGGCAUAAAGUGAGACAGGUCCCUUCCAGGGCAGACUGUAUCAAGGCACCUCGAAGUAUCCCCUCUGUUACUUUCAGUUUCAAUAUGACAGUGCAAAUUGUCCAUACCCGCAGGCAUUUCUGUUUAUCACUUAAGCAUGAACUCUGUGACCCAAAACUGAACUCUGUGACCCAAAACUGAACAAGCUCAUGAAUAUAAUGUAUUCCUUGACUGAGCAUGCUUGGGCAUGUAGUGAACUCCUUUACUGAGCGUGCUCAGAAGUGUAGUGAACAUUUUCACUGAGGAUGCUCAGCAGUGUGGUGUCCUCCUUUGCAGACCAUAAUCAGGAGGGACCUACUCCUCUAGGAAUAUGUCUAAAGCUCCAGAAUAGAGUCCCCUUGCUUUCUCAGAGAGGGUUAUUGCUUUUGAGAUGUCACUGUGUUCUUGCCCACUGCAAGUGGCUGCUCUCUCUCCUCUGUCUUAACUCUGCUUAGUUUGGCUUUGCAGUCACCAAUAUGAGAGCUCUUGGUGUCUAAUCCAGGGCUCUUGUAAGCUACCAGAGUAGCCACAAUGGCAGCAGCAGCAACCAUGACCUUUACAUUUGUUCAGAAUAUGAUCCCAAGUGUAACCUAACCCGGCUGUGGCUCCUUCAGAGCAAAAAAGAGAGAGCUGUCCCACCUGGAGGAUCUCAAGUUCCUCAUUUCACGUUCACAGUGAUCUGGGACAGGUUGCAGGAACAGUUGAACCUCCUCAGAUGGUGAGCACCAUACAGCCCCUUCUGGCUCUGCUGGAACAUUGUCUUAAUCUGCUCAGAAAGAUUUUCUGGAACAUUUGUGAGGGAAAAGCGGCCUGGGUGACCUUUUUAUACUGUGAAAAACAAACAGGAUCAAAGGGUGGCGUGUGUAACAGUCAGCCUCCCCAAAUGUGGUAACUAACUCCUUAAGGGAUGUGUCCUUUGAGCCCCAGACCUUAGAAGGCUUAAUGGAAAACCAGCCCUUGGAGGAGAAAAUUGUUCUGUCUCAUAGGUCCCUGCUGGGCUCCUGGACUGAGUUCCAGAGCUCCAGAAAAUCACACAUUAGCUUCUUCAAUGAGAAAGCUUGGAUGGCUCUCUAUGCCAUCACUGCCAUGGCUUAUCAGUGUAGGCCUCUGGGUCAAGGAACCCCUGGCUACAUAGUACAAGAUGUGGAUAAGCAGCUACGAAAGAGGAAGGACACUCUAGGUAAAUGAACAAGUUGGCGCAAAAACCCACAUUCCUCAGGCUAAGGUCUAUAGCCCCUUCAGAGAACAGCAAGUUCAUUUUUGCUGGUAUUCAGAAAUGAAAGGAAUGGUAGGUGCAGUUCUUACUCUUUCCCUUGUGACCUCCCCUGAGUAGUUAUGAGAAGGACCUGCUCAGGGGCCUCAGUCUUCAGGGGUGAGCUUGUCUGGUUGGCCCUGGGACUGUUCUGGCAAUAGGCUCUGGCAGCAUCCAGCCAGAAACAGUUCUACAGCAGCAGUCCUUGUGCGUGGGCUCUCUUCCCUCCUUUACUCAGCAUCUCCUACAUUGUCCAGCAGAGAUGUGGUGAAGACACUCCGAGUAAGCUUCCACACAGACCCGGCCUGUGACCCCACAAGGAACUGUGGCUAAAGACCUGACUCAGAAGUUACACAGUACCCUGACCAAGCUUGUUCUGUCUCUCUCAGCAUCUGUGAGUUUGUCCAGUUUCACCCUCUAUGAAGUGGCCAUCCACUAGGUCUUUUUCCUUCACCACAUCAAAGCAGAGACACAUGGAAGGGUCUCUGUUAGUGACUUUGGACACAGGUAGGACUUAGCACUGAGCUAGAUCAACUGAAUCGUAGCUCUUUUCCUGACUCCUCCUUCAGAACUUGUGAUCCCUUGCCAACCCCUCCCCCUCCCAUUCCACCCUCUGGUUGCAUCUUCUGUCUGCUUCCGGCUCAGCUUUCCCAGGUCCCCACAUAUGGGUGAUGCUGCAGGAUUGGUCCUUCUAAGGUGACAGAUAUCAAGUUGCAUUCCCCAUAAAGAGUUAGGAUUUUUUGUUUUAUUUGCGAAGGGCAUUCAAGAAGCGAAGACAAAAUGCAGAAGUGCGUCCACCUUGGCAGCUGUGCCUACAAGGCUUCCUGUGGACUCCACUGUCCUCUCCCUUCAUUGUAGCCUCUUAACUUUGGGAUUCCUGACUCCUACUUGGAGCUGACAGGCAGCAGCAUAGUGUUCUCAGGGUGUUAGCAGUUUGACUCCUCACCUGCUUCUAGCCCCUGCAUUUGUUGGUCUUGAAAGUUGUGAGUGCAACCUGAGUUUGACUCCUGGUGAUGUCCUAGGGGGAUAAGCCCAUGUUAUUUUCAUUUGGCUCUGUGGUUGUCAUAUUAUGGGUGACUCUAAGGAGGAUGGGUUUUCCAGGUGGGGUAUCAUAGGAUGUCAUGCUGAACUCAGUGUUGCCCACAAUACCGCUGUCUAAGUUAAAACCCACAGUACCAUAUGUGAGAAUGAUAUGCAAGGGCAGGUCAUCCAGAGGCAGCAGAGCAUGGAAGGCAAGCUGUGGCUUCUGCUACCCUUCAUCUUUUGUUUCUAGUCAUCCAGCAGCUGUUACUUCCCAAGCAAUGUAAAGGUGGAAAUGUCAGUUCAUUCCUACUCCUCUUUUUGAGGGAGGAGUACAAUGAGAGGUCCUGCAAGGCUUUUUGUCAAAACAGGGCUGCAUAGGCUUCACUGUCUGCUAACAGCCCUCCCUGGAACUUAAUAACUUAAUAUGAUGUAUGUUGCUGUGACUUCAUUAAACAUUCAAUGUUUUUUAAAAA
Molecule: long non-coding RNA, 5721 nt
Organism: Peromyscus leucopus (white-footed mouse)
Lineage: Eukaryota; Metazoa; Chordata; Mammalia; Rodentia; Cricetidae
Exons: 4
Source: RefSeq, a predicted model, not a curated record